Molecule: ribosomal RNA, 253 nt
Filed under: uncultured bacterium
Lineage: Bacteria
Description: partial 16S ribosomal RNA
Rfam family: Bacterial small subunit ribosomal RNA
Source: RNAcentral
UACGAAGGGGGCUAGCGUUGCUCGGAAUCACUGGGCGUAAAGCGCACGUAGGCGGAUUGCUAAGUCAGGGGUGAAAUCCUGGAGCUCAACUCCAGAACUGCCCUUGAUACUGGCGGUCUCGAGUCCGGGAGAGGUGAGUGGAACUGCGAGUGUAGAGGUGAAAUUCGUAGAUAUUCGCAAGAACACCAGUGGCGAAGGCGGCUCACUGGCCCGGUACUGACGCUGAGGUGCGAAAGCGUGGGAAGCAAACAGG